This 72-nucleotide transfer RNA is filed under the name Odocoileus virginianus texanus. It matches the Rfam family "tRNA". From Rfam's summary of the family: Transfer RNA (tRNA) molecules are approximately 80 nucleotides in length. Their secondary structure includes four short double-helical elements and three loops (D, anti-codon, and T loops). Further hydrogen bonds mediate the characteristic L-shaped molecular structure. tRNAs have two regions of fundamental functional importance: the anti-codon, which is responsible for specific mRNA codon recognition, and the 3' end, to which the tRNAs corresponding amino acid is attached (by aminoacyl-tRNA synthetases). tRNAs cope with the degeneracy of the genetic code in two manners: having more than one tRNA (with a specific anti-codon) for a particular amino acid; and 'wobble' base-pairing, i.e. permitting non-standard base-pairing at the 3rd anti-codon position. Lineage: Eukaryota; Metazoa; Chordata; Mammalia; Artiodactyla; Cervidae. RNAcentral also lists the same sequence under 3 other names. The record is from Rfam by way of RNAcentral.
UCCCUGGUGGCUCAGAUGGUAAAGAGUCUGCCUGCAAUGCAGGAGACCCAGGUUCGAUCCCUGGGUCGGGAA